UUUGGUUUGUCACGUGUGGUUGGCUGCGGCGUUUGCAACAACUUCCAUGCUUUCAGACCUCUUCAGUUGUGCGGCAAGGCUUGUAUCGCCUUGUCGUAAUGUGGGUUUUCUGUGUUGUAUACCUAAUCAAUGGUAUCGGUUGGAUUGAUCAAUGUUUCAUUUCGUCUGUCGUNGCAUUNGCGGCGUGAGACGAACCUCGAUGCGGUCUCUUUGGCCCACCUCGUCGAAGCACAUGCUUUGACGUUGUGGCACAUUGAGCAUUGCUUGGUCUCUUGUAUACGGAACAUAUAGUGGGCAUGGAUCUAACGAUUCUUGUUUGCCCUCAUGUUAGCGUAACGCUUCUCUUACACGACUUGCUCCACGUUUUAG
RNAcentral lists this unclassified non-coding RNA (369 nucleotides) under Artemisia rubripes. RNAcentral describes it as "partial external transcribed spacer". The record is from RNAcentral. Lineage: Eukaryota; Viridiplantae; Streptophyta; Magnoliopsida; Asterales; Asteraceae.